GGAGGAAAGCAGGGGAUCGCAAGACCUUGCGCUUUUGGAGCGGCCGAUGCCUGAUUAGCUUGUUGGUGAGGUAAAAGCUCACCAAGGCUCCGAUCAGUAGCUGGUCUGAGAGGACGACCAGCCACACUGGGACUGAGACACGGCCCAGACUCCUACGGGAGGCAGCAGUGGGGAAUUUUGGACAAUGGGGGCAACCCUGAUCCAGCCAUGCCGCGUGAGUGAAGAAGGCCUUCGGGUUGUAAAGCUCUUUCAGCCGGAACGAAACGGUCACGGUUAAUACCCGUGACUACUGACGGUACCGGAAGAAGAAGCACCGGCUAACUACGUGCCAGCAGCCGCGGUAAUACGUAGGGUGCGAGCGUUAAUCGGAAUUACUGGGCGUAAAGCGUGCGCAGGUGGUUUUGUAAGUCAGAUGUGAAAUCCCCGGGCUUAACCUGGGAACUGCGUUUGAAACUACAAGGCUAG
Molecule: ribosomal RNA, 465 nt
Filed under: uncultured bacterium
Lineage: Bacteria
Description: bacterial SSU rRNA
Rfam family: Bacterial small subunit ribosomal RNA
Source: RNAcentral